RNAcentral lists this microRNA precursor (92 nucleotides) under Canis lupus familiaris (dog). RNAcentral describes it as "mir-8799 microRNA precursor family". It matches the Rfam family "mir-8799 microRNA precursor family". Lineage: Eukaryota; Metazoa; Chordata; Mammalia; Carnivora; Canidae. The record is from Rfam by way of RNAcentral. RNAcentral also lists the same sequence under 1 other name.
GGGAAAGCGCCAGAUCCUGGGCUGUGUCCCCUGGCGACCUGAGCUCCUGGGCCUGCACUGCUGGAUUGGCGCUCCUCGCUGCGCAGCCUCCU